UGCUCAGGACGAACGCUGGCGGCGUGCUAAUACAUGCAAGUCGAGCGGACAGAUGGGAGCUUGCUCCUGAUGUUAGCGGCGGACGGGUGAGUAACACGUGGGUAACCUGCCUGUAAGACUGGGAUAACUCCGGGAAACCGGGGCUAAUACCGGAUGGUUGUUUGAACCGCAUGGUUCAAACAUAAAAGGUGGCUUCGGCUACCACUUACAGAUGGACCCGCGGCGCAUUAGCUAGUUGGUGAGGUAACGGCUCACCAAGGCAACGAUGCGUAGCCGACCUGAGAGGGUGAUCGGCCACACUGGGACUGAGACACGGCCCAGACUCCUACGGGAGGCAGCAGUAGGGAAUCUUCCGCAAUGGACGAAAGUCUGACGGAGCAACGCCGCGUGAGUGAUGAAGGUUUUCGGAUCGUAAAGCUCUGUUGUUAGGGAAGAACAAGUACCGUUCGAAUAGGGCGGUACCUUGACGGUACCUAACCAGAAAGCCACGGCUAACUACGUGCCAGCAGCCGCGGUAAUACGUAGGUGGCAAGCGUUGUCCGGAAUUAUUGGGCGUAAAGGGCUCGCAGGCGGUUUCUUAAGUCUGAUGUGAAAGCCCCCGGCUCAACCGGGGAGGGUCAUUGGAAACUGGGGAACUUGAGUGCAGAAGAGGAGAGUGGAAUUCCACGUGUAGCGGUGAAAUGCGUAGAGAUGUGGAGGAACACCAGUGGCGAAGGCGACUCUCUGGUCUGUAACUGACGCUGAGGAGCGAAAGCGUGGGGAGCGAACAGGAUUAGAUACCCUGGUAGUCCACGCCGUAAACGAUGAGUGCUAAGUGUUAGGGGGUUUCCGCCCCUUAGUGCUGCAGCUAACGCAUAA
RNAcentral lists this ribosomal RNA (858 nucleotides) under uncultured Bacillus sp. RNAcentral's name for it is "bacterial SSU rRNA". It matches the Rfam family "Bacterial small subunit ribosomal RNA", at positions 21 to 862 of the family's 1533-position model. The record is from RNAcentral. Lineage: Bacteria; Bacillati; Bacillota; Bacilli; Caryophanales; Bacillaceae.